UGGACAGUGCUCACCCAUGUUGCAUUGUGAAUUCACUCAGACUUGGUUCUGAGCACACACAUGUGCACUUCGCUGUUCCACCAUAUACCACCAACAAUUCUGCCUGGAACACCUUGGCUCAGAUCUGAGGCUCAGGCUCAAGACUACAUUGAAAACUGCAGGGUUUUUACUGUGCAUCCAGAUACUACUUGGCCCAACAGUGACCCUGUAGUAUUUUUCCAAUAUUCUGGGGCUCUGACAUAUGGGGCCUUGCUUACCCUCCCAGCAUAGCCUACAGACAGGAAAAGUUACCCCUAGCAUGAGUCUUCCAGUGAGGAACAACCCCUCCAGCCCCACCCCACUCCUCUUUAUUAUGCUGUCACACUGGGGCUACUCACUACCUCAGUCACCCCAGGGUGAGAACCAGAUGCCUGGGGCAGCCCUGUGGAGUGACCCUCAGCUGUUUUCCCUCUCCUCCCCCUACCCCAGGGCCACAUGAGAUUCCUUGCCCCUCCCCUGUGACCCUGCCAGCCUGGCUGUCUCCUUGAGUGACCUCUGCUUCUCCCCUCCCCCCCCCCCCCAGACCACUCACAGUCUGGAGUCCAGUUCACUGUACAGACUGGGCUGGCUGGGCUGGCUGGGCUGGCCGACAUGCGGGAAGCUCUGAGUGCUGGAUGGGACCUGCCCAGACCGUACCCUACAGGAAGCCGAAGAGAACCCCAUGUGACCACUGCUGGACCCAGACUUCCCGAGGGCAUACUGUGGGCCAGCAGAGCAAGCAUGAAGGGACUCAGCUGGGCCAGAGCCAAGCUACAGACCCUUGACUGGAUAUAGACGUUCCCACCUGAAGGAGGAACAUGUUUCGCUUCUGUUCCAAGUAGUCAUUCAAUGUUUCAGGUAUCCCCUUCCUUUCUGCAACAAGACUCAGAAGGUGAGUAAGGGAGAGAAGCUGGAGCCCAGGUUGGAAUUGGGCACCCAAGACAGUCCACAGAGGAGGCUGGGGUGCUGCUGCCUACCCAGGGUGUUACCGUGGUGAUGGGUCUGAAAAGGGGAGAAAAGGUUCCCUCAACAUGGAGCCAACCCUCCACAUCUGUGGGGGUCUGUUUCCUUGGAGUCAACCAACAGAUCAGAAAUACAUGGAAGAGACUCACAUUUGUACUACAGAAUGAAUUCCUUUGUCCCUACAAACACUUGUCUACAUAGAAUGUAUAUUGAACCCACAAUGUACAGAUCUAUGAAUGACUCAGAGAAUACAGGGGAGCAUAAAUACACUGUGGGUUCUGAUACCAAGGGAGCUCCAGGAACUUGUCCCCUGGGAUGCUGAGAGGUGACUGCUAGGCUCCACCUAGUUGGUGACUGUCUGGCUUGGACCUCUCUUACUAUAGCGUCCCCACAACUCAUGAGGUUGGCACAGUUAGAGGAGUCCAGUGCUGGCCAUGUCCUAUCAAAAGCUGUAGUGUCACCAAGAUGACCAAGACCUGGAAGGCAAAUUUCAGAUGAGGCCUCCUCGCUGGAGUUGGACUUGCCCAUUGCCUGUGACUGGCUGAUUGUUGGGUGGACCUAAGCCUCUGCAUGCUGAGCUUGCCUCCACCCUAGCAUACCAUGCAGUCUCCAUGGGAUCAGCAUGUUCUGGAACUGUGGCCCAUCAAGGCAGAGCUCUUCAAGGUAUGUAGUGUCAGACAGAGGGAGUGCCUUUCUUAAUCACCCCUUAUUCCCGCUCCUGCACAAGGUAGAGGUGCUGUACCUUGGGUCAUGGCCAGCUUCCAGGCAGUGUUGUUGCGGAAGGCGUGCAGCUGCCGGGACUCAGCAAUCAGCUCCUGGUCCUCCAUCUCCUCUUCUAGCUGCAGCUCCCGGCGCAGGCUAAUGUGCUUGGCAGACACCUUGGAUGAGUAGGUCAUCUUCUGGUGCACCCUCAGCAUCUUUUUUUGUUCACGUUCCUGUCGGGGUGACAGGCAGUCAAUGGGAUCCGAGUGCUUGUCAGAUGCAUGUCUCCAGUGCCUCCUGACCAAUGCUAGAGGCUGAAGGGGCCCACACAUAGGGAGAACACACACACACACACACACACACACACACACACACACACACACACACACCCCUGUGCUAAGCACUCUGUUGUUGGUACUCUUAGAGAGGCUGUAGGCUCUUGCAAACAGCCUCUGGGGUUGAACAGGUCAAUGACCACCUGAGGAUGGGACCCGGGAGGGGCAGCUAUACCAAACACAGGUGCCAGUUCAAUGUGCAUUUUCCAGAAGGUAGUACCCCAUGGUACUGCCAGGCUUGGAAACAGAAAUACCCAAUCCUGCAUCCAAGAAGAGGAAGGCUCCAGGUGAAGGCCAGAGAGAGGCCUGCCUGUGGGUUUUCCAUCCCUUCUCUGUGGCUGAGCAAGUAUGUCAACUGGGCACCACCUUUCAGAGCCCCAAGCUGCCAGGUCUCAUUCUGGAGCUGGGCAUGGGUCACAGGCUUGUUCCAGUUUCAACACAGAGGCUGAAGGAUGUCUUCCACCCAGUGCCCUACUGAUGCUGCCAUGGGGCCCUGCCACCCUGAAAACAGCAGGUGCUGAGCCUGAAUCAGGGGACACAGGCUGUUGGGUCAGGCCAGAAGAAAAGAGGGGUGC
Peromyscus eremicus (cactus mouse) is the source of this 2593-nucleotide long non-coding RNA. RefSeq lists it as uncharacterized. The transcript is spliced from 3 exons. NCBI's taxonomy places the organism in Eukaryota, Metazoa, Chordata, Mammalia, Rodentia, Cricetidae. The record is from RefSeq and is a predicted model, not a curated record.